UGGGGAAUAUUGGACAAUGGGCGAAAGCCUGAUCCAGCCAUGCCGCGUGUGUGAAGAAGGUCUUCGGAUUGUAAAGCACUUUAAGUUGGGAGGAAGGGCAGUAAGCGAAUACCUUGCUGUUUUGACGUUACCGACAGAAUAAGCACCGGCUAACUCUGUGCCAGCAGCCGCGGUAAUACAGAGGGUGCAAGCGUUAAUCGGAAUUACUGGGCGUAAAGCGCGCGUAGGUGGUUCGUUAAGUUGAAUGUGAAAGCCCCGGGCUCAACCUGGGAACGGCAUCCAAAACUGGCGAGCUAGAGUAGGGCAGAGGGUGGUGGAAUUUCCUGUGUGGCGGUGAAAUGCGUAGAUAUAGGAAGGAACACCAGUGGCGAAGGCGACCACCUGGGGUCAUACUGACACUGAGGUGCGAAAGCGUGGGGAGCAAACAGG
Molecule: ribosomal RNA, 429 nt
Filed under: Pseudomonadota bacterium
Lineage: Bacteria; Pseudomonadati; Pseudomonadota
Description: Proteobacteria bacterium partial 16S ribosomal RNA
Rfam family: Bacterial small subunit ribosomal RNA
Source: RNAcentral